ACUGCACCUCGAUAUGAUCAUUCCUCCUUGUAUCUGAAAAAUCAAAUUUAUUUUUACUUUAGCCUAAGUUACUACUACUACUUUGUUUUUACACACACACUCUCUAUCUAGUCUAGGAGGGGAUAUUGCCAGUAAUGACAGUGUUUCAGUGGCAGUGCAAGAAAAAGGGGUUAGAGUUUUCAUUGGGAAGGUAAAAUUUUUGCACCCAAAAACAAGCGAACCCAUAAACACCUUCAUGUUUUUC
Molecule: long non-coding RNA, 244 nt
Filed under: Nicotiana benthamiana
Lineage: Eukaryota; Viridiplantae; Streptophyta; Magnoliopsida; Solanales; Solanaceae
Description: long non-coding RNA (NBEN_LNC017426)
Source: RNAcentral